This 504-nucleotide ribosomal RNA is filed under the name Theileria uilenbergi. RNAcentral describes it as "SSU rRNA". It matches the Rfam family "Eukaryotic small subunit ribosomal RNA", at positions 461 to 1004 of the family's 1831-position model. The record is from RNAcentral. Lineage: Eukaryota; Apicomplexa; Aconoidasida; Piroplasmida; Theileriidae.
GAGGUAGUGACAAGAAAUAACAAUACGGGGCUUAACGUCUUGUAAUUGGAAUGAUGGGAAUCUAAACCUCUUCCAGAGUAUCAAUUGGAGGGCAAGUCUGGUGCCAGCAGCCGCGGUAAUUCCAGCUCCAAUAGCGUAUAUUAAAAUUGUUGCAGUUAAAAAGCUCGUAGUUGAAUUUCUGCCGCCCCGCCUCUGCCCCUCGACGGGCGUUUGCGCCGCGGCUUUUUCGGAUUAUGCUUGCAUUUUCCGAGUGUUACUUUGAGAAAAUUAGAGUGCUCAAAGCAGGCUUUUGCCUUGAAUAGUUUAGCAUGGAAUAAUAGAGUAGGACUUUGGUUCUAUUUUGUUGGUUUUAGGUCCCAAAGUAAUGGUUAAUAGGAACAGUUGGGGGCAUUCGUAUUUAACUGUCAGAGGUGAAAUUCUUAGAUUUGUUAAAGACGAACUACUGCGAAAGCAUUUGCCAAGGAUGUUUUCAUUAAUCAAGAACGAAAGUUAGGGGAUCGAAGA